UCAGGACGAACGCUGGCGGCGUGCUUAACACAUGCAAGUCGAACGGACCUUCGGGUUAGUGGCGAACGGGUGAGUAACACGUGGGUGAUCUGCCCUGCACUUUGGGAUAAGCCUGGGAAACUGGGUCUAAUACCGAAUAGGACCACGCGCUUCAUGGUGUGUGGUGGAAAGCUUUUGCGGUGUGGGAUGGGCCCGCGGCCUAUCAGCUUGUUGGUGGGGUAAUGGCCUACCAAGGCGACGACGGGUAGCCGGCCUGAGAGGGUGACCGGCCACACUGGGACUGAGAUACGGCCCAGACUCCUACGGGAGGCAGCAGUGGGGAAUAUUGCACAAUGGGCGCAAGCCUGAUGCAGCGACGCCGCGUGAGGGAUGACGGCCUUCGGGUUGUAAACCUCUUUCGCCAGGGACGAAGCGCAAGUGACGGUACCUGGAGAAGAAGGACCGGCCAACUACGUGCCAGCAGCCGCGGUAAUACGUAGGGUCCGAGCGUUGUCCGGAAUUACUGGGCGUAAAGAGCUCGUAGGUGGUUUGUCGCGUUGUUCGUGAAAACUCACAACUCAAUUGUGGGCGUGCGGGCGAUACGGGCAGACUGGAGUACUGCAGGGGAGACUGGAAUUCCUGGUGUAGCGGUGGAAUGCGCAGAUAUCAGGAGGAACACCGGUGGCGAAGGCGGGUCUCUGGGCAGUAACUGACGCUGAGGAGCGAAAGCGUGGGGAGCGAACAGGAUUAGAUACCCUGGUAGUCCACGCCGUAAACGGUNNGGNCUAGGUGUGGGUUUCCUUCCUUGGGA
RNAcentral lists this ribosomal RNA (790 nucleotides) under bacterium. RNAcentral's name for it is "bacterial SSU rRNA". It matches the Rfam family "Bacterial small subunit ribosomal RNA", at positions 24 to 839 of the family's 1533-position model. The record is from RNAcentral.